GAUGAAGAACGUAGCUAAAUGCGAUAAGUAAUGUGAAUUGCAGAAUUCAGUGAAUCAUCGAGUCUUUGAACGCACAUUGCGCCCCCUGGUAUUCCGGGGGGCAUGCCUGUCCGAGCGUCAUUGCUGCCCUCAAGCACGGCUUGUGUGUUGGGCCUCCGUCCUCCUCCCGGGGGACGGGCCCGAAAGGCAGCGGCGGCACCGCGUCCGGUCCUCGAGCGUAUGGGGCUUCGUCACCCGCUCUUGUAGGCCCGGCCGGCGCUUGCCGACACAUCAAUCUUUUUUCCAGGUUGACCUCGGAUCAGGUAGGGAUACCCGCUGAACUUAAGCAUAUCAAUAAGCGGAGGA
Molecule: unclassified non-coding RNA, 345 nt
Filed under: soil metagenome
Description: partial contains 5.8S ribosomal RNA, internal transcribed spacer 2, and large subunit ribosomal RNA
Rfam family: 5.8S ribosomal RNA (bases 1-120)
Source: RNAcentral